GCAAAAGUUCCAGGACCCACUCUCUCCUGGACUGACUUGGGUCAUGUUCUCUCCCUGAACCAAUCACUGUGACUUGGAAAAAGUGAAAAUGUGUUCUGAUUGAUGAGGGCUAGUUCACCUGCCCAGCCCUGGAGCCAACUCGAGUCCUCGGACCAAGCAGAAGGGCAGAUGAAGGUGCUUUCCACAAUACAACUCACUUCUCUCCUGGAAGCCCUGCCAAUGUUCUCACUCCUCUCUCUGCACACACACCCCAACUGGCCCACACUGCACAGGGGGAGACUGUUGUCCCCAUGGCUCCUCUCACUGCUCCCUGUCACAAACCAAAGUGGCCAGAGUGUUCAAGCUGAGGAAGCUGCAGCAGGAAGAGCAGUGGAGUCAACCAAAGUCCUGAGUUCUAGCCCCUCCUCUGUCACCAACCAGCCAUGAGACCUUUGGCAAGUCAGCCAUGUCUCACUUCUCAGUCUCCCCAUCUGGUCAAAAGUAAAAACAAAAGCAGAAUCAUG
This is a non-coding RNA of Equus caballus (horse), 503 nucleotides long. NCBI's taxonomy places the organism in Eukaryota, Metazoa, Chordata, Mammalia, Perissodactyla, Equidae. The record is from RefSeq and is a predicted model, not a curated record.